UACAGAGGCCUCGAGCGUUAGGCGGAAUCACUGGGCUUAAAGCGUGUGUAGGCGGAUGCCUAAGUACCUUGUGAAAUCCCACGGCUCACCCGUGGAACGGCUGGGUAUACUGGGUGUCUUGAGCCACUUAGGGGCUGCCGGAACAAAUGGUGGAGCGGUGAAAUGCGUAGAUAUCGCUUGGAACGCCGAAGGUGAAAACAGGUUGCUGGGGUUGUGCCGACGCUGAGACACGAAAGCCAGGGGAGCGAACGGG
This 253-nucleotide ribosomal RNA is filed under the name uncultured bacterium. Its description in RNAcentral is "partial 16S ribosomal RNA". It matches the Rfam family "Bacterial small subunit ribosomal RNA", at positions 524 to 776 of the family's 1533-position model. The record is from RNAcentral.